UACGUAUGGUGCAAGCGUUAUCCGGAUUUACUGGGUGUAAAGGGAGCGCAGGCGGCACGGCAGGCCUGAUGUGAAAGCCCGCGGCCCAACCGCGGGACUGCAUUGGGAACUACCGGGCUGGAGUGCCGGAGAGGUAGGCGGAAUUCCUAGUGUAGCGGUGAAAUGCGUAGAUAUUAGGAGGAACACCAGUGGCGAAGGCGGCCUACUGGACGGUGACUGACGCUGAGGCUCGAAAGCGUGGGGAGCAAACAGG
Molecule: ribosomal RNA, 253 nt
Filed under: uncultured bacterium
Lineage: Bacteria
Description: partial 16S ribosomal RNA
Rfam family: Bacterial small subunit ribosomal RNA
Source: RNAcentral